UUAGGAGGGGUGAUGUUUGCUAUCAGUUCUACAAGGCUGUCCGAUGAAGACAAAUGCACUGUCUCAGCUCCCAUCUAUAACCAGGUAACAGACAGCAACUGUAUAUUUCACAUUUAGUAUGCCAAGUUCCAAGAAAUGCAAGUUGUCACAACAACCCACUCUCCUACAGGCUCCAGAACUAGUUGAAAGGGUGCAUGGAAAUAAAUGGUGGCCAUUGCACAAAGGUAUGUGGCUUGCAAAGCUGUGAGCCCUGCCCCUUCCUUAAACUCUACUGGAGUUUCCAUGGAGAAGCAGCUGCCAGUUUUACCUGUAUGAGGCCUCAACCCUGUUUGCUGAGCCUUCCUAAUUGUUCCAGAGCUACAGCUGCUGGAUGAAGGCCCAGUCCAUAUAGAGGAAUACUCCCUGAGCCAAGACACACGGGGGUGGGCCUAGGCCCUACCCCAAAGGAAACGAAAGACUCUGAUGACACCCUAUGGAAGGCCUCACCAUCCAGGGGGAGCAGAAAAGAUAUG
Molecule: long non-coding RNA, 512 nt
Filed under: Cricetulus griseus (Chinese hamster)
Lineage: Eukaryota; Metazoa; Chordata; Mammalia; Rodentia; Cricetidae
Description: lncRNA (ENSCGRG00015033172.1)
Source: RNAcentral